CCUACGGGAGGCUGCAGUGGGGAAUAUUGGACAAUGGGCGAAAGCCUGAUCCAGCCAUGCCGCGUGUGUGAAGAAGGCCUUCGGGUUGUAAAGCACUUUCAGUGGGGAAGAAAGCCUUGGGGCUAAUACCCUCGAGGAAGGACAUCACCCACAGAAGAAGCACCGGCUAACUCCGUGCCAGCAGCCGCGGUAAUACGGAGGGUGCGAGCGUUAAUCGGAAUUACUGGGCGUAAAGCGCGCGUAGGCGGUCUGAUAAGCCGGUUGUGAAAGCCCCGGGCUCAACCUGGGAACGGCAUCCGGAACUGUCAGGCUAGAGUGCAGGAGAGGAAGGUAGAAUUCCCGGUGUAGCGGUGAAAUGCGUAGAGAUCGGGAGGAAUACCAGUGGCGAAGGCGGCCUUCUGGACUGACACUGACGCUGAGGUGCGAAAGCGUGGGUAGCAAACAGGAUUAGAUACCCGUAGUC
This 463-nucleotide ribosomal RNA is filed under the name Vreelandella stevensii. RNAcentral describes it as "partial 16S ribosomal RNA". It matches the Rfam family "Bacterial small subunit ribosomal RNA", at positions 338 to 795 of the family's 1533-position model. Lineage: Bacteria; Pseudomonadati; Pseudomonadota; Gammaproteobacteria; Oceanospirillales; Halomonadaceae. The record is from RNAcentral.